This 396-nucleotide ribosomal RNA is filed under the name Ovis aries (sheep). RNAcentral describes it as "partial 12S ribosomal RNA". Lineage: Eukaryota; Metazoa; Chordata; Mammalia; Artiodactyla; Bovidae. The record is from RNAcentral.
CAGUGUAUGUUUCGCCCUAAUCGAUGUAAUUUUUUGAACUAAAUUAUUCGCCAGAGUACUGCCGGCAAUAGCCCGAAGCUCAAAGGACUUGGAGGUGCUUUAUACCCUUCUAGAGUUGCCUGUUCUAUAAUCGAUAAACCCCGAUAAACCUCACCAAUCCUUGCUAAUACAGUCUAUAUACCGCCAUCUUCAGCAAACCCUAAAAAAGGGACAAAAGUAAGCUCAAUAAUAACACAUAAAGACGUUAGGUCAAGGUGUAACCUAUGGAGUGGGAAGAAAUGGGCUACAUUUUCUAUCCAUGAAAAUUUAAUACGAAAGCUAUUAUGAAAUUAAUAGCCAAAGGAGGAUAUAGCAGUAAACUAAGAAUAGAGUGCUUAGUUGAAUCAGGCCAUGAAG